Long non-coding RNA from Passer montanus (Eurasian tree sparrow), 1716 nucleotides. RefSeq lists it as uncharacterized. Lineage: Eukaryota; Metazoa; Chordata; Aves; Passeriformes; Passeridae. The transcript has 2 exons. The record is from RefSeq and is a predicted model, not a curated record.
UGGUAGUGGUGCUUCUGUGCAAGCCUGCCAGAACUGAAUCCAAAUAUUUUUGUGAUUGAAGAAAAGGUUUGUCUACGCAAGUUAUGCAGGUAGGAGCAAUUGUAUUUAGAGUUUAAUGUAAGGAUAUUAUGCUCAAUUUUUAAAAGCUGUUUUUUCCUGUCAGUACGGUGUGAAGCAGUGUAGAGAGGCAGACAAAUGGAAUGUAGGAGGGGUCUCUCCUGUACCAUGGAUCCCUUGGCCCUGAGCCCUUCUCAGGCUGCAGAAACUGCCUGCAGAUACAAAUGUUGCAGUCCAGUGCUGGUUUUUCUCCUGCUUCCCAUCUUCAGUGCUGUUCCAAAAUAGAUCUGGUGAUUAAAACUGCUGCUGGGCUCUUCUAGCAGAAGUCAGAGCAGGUGGAAAGUGCUACAGAAUUAGAACGUGAGGAAAAGCUUUAGGGGGAAAACUAAGCCACACCACAAUCACAACAGCUUUUUUUUUUUUUUUGGGUAAAUAUUCAAUUACUUUUGUUUUUAUUUGAGGUUUUGUUUGUUUGGGUUUAUUUUUUUUUUUCCCUUACCAGCUAAACAGAAAAAUGAAUUAGGGUUGCUUUCAUGAUGCAGAUAUAAGAAUCUCUAUUUCUUGUCAUUAUUUUGUUGCCAAACUACUUUAUUCGUUUCCCCACAUGCUCCACUGCAACCCAGGGUAUGAUUCUUUCCUUUCAGCAGCUGGAGAGCCAUCUAACCAAGAACCUUAUUUUACAGAGACAUUAGAAGAAGUAGUAUUACAGGAUCUGGGUUAUAAUAAGAUGUUUUAAAGGCUCAAAACUACACCUGAGAGUGCCAGUGCACUUUGCAAGUGCAUCAUAUGGGUUGAUCAUGUUUUUAAAUUCAGUAUCAUUGCAAAAAUGGGGCUUAAAUUUUUUUCUUUCUUCUUAAGAGCUAUCCUCUGCACAAUAAACACAGUUUUUACAGAGCUCUGCACAAUAAACACAAAUGACUCAUUUGCAGUGAAAUACUGUUAAAAAUUACUGUCCUGAUCUUCACCAGUACCACUGAUACAAUGUAAAUUACAGUCAAUGGUUCUGAGUGGAAACACAAAACAAUCUCCCAGCCAAAAUCACAGGAAGGAGAAUGAGGCUCAUUGUUUUCCAGAAGAACACCUAGUUUGCAUUGAAGAGAUUGCUCCUUUAUAUAAAAGGUCAAUUAGCAUAAUCUUUUCUAUAAAUUUCUAUACAGUUCUAUAUAUUUGUCAAGUCCCACAGGAGCUGUAAUAAAUUGUUCCCAGAAACUGGCUGCAUCCAAGCUUGGCUUAACGUUGUGCAUGUUUUCUCCUUGUUUGGUGUAAAUAUUUGCCCCCUUUUUGCAGUCAUUGCUUCAGACCUUUGCUGCUUGGUCAGUUGUUGCUUUAUCUUCUGUUUCACCAGCUCCUACAGACAAACAAAUCAGAUCAGAACCUUUUGAGAUUAUUUAGCACUAAAGACACACAGGCAGUACUUUUUCAGGACCAGCAUGAACAUUCAUGAUGCUCACCUUGACUGUAGAAAUUAUGGAAAAGGUUGUUUCCUUGUAAGAAAAUAACAAAAAACAGAGAUGCUCUCCUCUGGACAAGGUCUGCAUGGAGUGCUGUGUUUGUCAGUGCUACACCCUCAGGACUCAGAGCACCUGGAGAGGUGUGGGGUUAUCUGUACUAUUGUCUUUUAAUACUCUUAAGCUCUAAUAAACAGCAUUUUAAAUCCUA